UAAAAUGGAAUAUAUGUAAAAAGCAAUAUACAAAAAUAUUGUUAAGGCCCUGUUUGGAUACCCUUCAAAAUAUAGCAUAGUUAAACUAUAAUAUACCAGUAGAAAAUUUAUACUAUGAAGCGUUUUGGAGAAAAAAAAAAUACCGUAACUUUUGGAGAAUAGUUAAUAUACUCCAAAAAAUUAAUUAACCAAAGGAAAAGAAUUCUACCAUCCUUGGGCAAAAAUGCAUCAAGUUCUAACUUUCAAAUUUCAAUAUGAAAUUUUAAAUUUCAACAUAGAAUUUAAAUUUUAAAUUUUACAAUUUAAUUUAUAUACAAAUUUUUAAUUUCAAAUUUAAAAUUUGAAUUUUAAAUUUGAAAUAUCAAAAAUUAAAUUUUAUAAUUUCAAAAUUUAAUGUCAAAUAUUAAAUUUUAAAUUUUUUAAUUUUAUAAAUUCAAAUUUUAAUUAUCGAAUAUCAAAUUUUAAAUUUUAGUUUACAAAUAAUAAAAUUUCAAAUUUCAAAUUUUUUAAUUUAUAAUUUCAAUUUUCAAUUCUAAAUUUUUAAUUUUCAAUUUUAAUUUCAAAUUUCAAAUUUCAAAUUUCAAAUUUAGAAUUUCAAAUUUUAUUUUAAAUUUUAGUUUUCAAAUUUCAAAUUUUAAAUUUUAAAUUUCAAAUAUCAUAUUUUAAGCUUCAAAUUUUAAAUUUUAAAUUUCAAAUUUUAAUUUUCAAAUUUCAAAUUUUAUGUUUUAAAUUUCAAUUUUCAAAUUUCAAAUUUCAAUUUUCAAAUUUCAAACUUUAAAUUUUAAUUUUUAAGUUUUAUGUUUUAAAUUUUAAAUUUUAAAUUUUAAAUUUCAAAUUUGAAAUUCAAAUCUCAAAUCUCAUUGUUCAAAUUUCAAAUUUGAACAUUAAAUUUUAAAUUUAUUUUAAAUUUUAAAUUUAAAAUUCUAAAUUUAAAAUUUAAAAUUUAAAAAUUUAAGAUUUUUCAUUUUAGAAUUUUAAAUUUCAAAAUCUUAAAAUUAAAUUUAGAUUUUUAUAUUUUAAAUUUUUAAUUUUCAAAAUUUAAAAUUUAAAAUUUAAAAUUUCACAUUUCACAUAUCAAAUUUUAAAUUUUAAAUUUUAUUGAAAUUUAAAAUUUGAAAUUUUAACUUUUAAUUUAUAAAAUUUAGGAAAAUCCUGUGAAAUUGCACAAUCCGCAUCCAAACAGUUUAAAAUUUGAAUCCGUGGAACUUUUUAGAAUUACAAGAUUCUCUAUUUUAUUUGGACCAAAAUCACAGUUUAUAAAUUGAAUCAAGUGUAAGAAAGAUAGCAGCUUUACGAUAAUAUUUGAGAAUUGGAAUUUUUUUUUAAAAAAAUAGCUAUCAUCAAAUUUUUUGUCAUUUAAGUACGGUCAGUGUAACUUAUCUGCCUAGAAGCAUAUCAUUACAAACUUC
This 1409-nucleotide long non-coding RNA is filed under the name Ananas comosus (pineapple). RNAcentral's name for it is "long non-coding RNA (ACOM_LNC016763)". The record is from RNAcentral. Lineage: Eukaryota; Viridiplantae; Streptophyta; Magnoliopsida; Poales; Bromeliaceae.